UGGAACCGGAGAGAACUAAUAGGGAUUGCCUUAGUAACGGCGAGUGAAGCGGCAACAGCUUAAAUUUGAAAUCUAGCUCUUUUAGAGUCUAAGUUGUAAUUUGCAGAGGGCGCUUUGGCGUUGGCAGCGGUCUAAGUUCCUUAGAACAGGACGUUAUAGAGGGUAAGAAUUCUGUACGUAGUCGCUAGCUAUUACCGUGUAAAGCCCCUUCGACAAGUCGAGUUGUUUGGGAAUGCAGCUCUAAAUGGGAGGUAAAUUUCUUCUAAAGCUAAAUACUAGCUAGAGACUAAUAGCGCACAAGUAGAGUAAUUGAAAGAUAAAAAGCACUUUAGAAAGAGAGUUAAAUAGCACGUGAAAUUGUUGAAAGGGAAGCGCUUGCAGCUAGACUUGCCUGUAGUUGCUUAUCUAGGCUUUUGCCUGGUGCACUCUUCUGCGGGCAGGCUAGCAUUAGUUUAGGUGGUUAGAUAAAGGUCUCUGUUAUGUACCUCUCUUUGGGGAGAACUUAUAGGGGAGACGAUAUACAACUAGCCUAGACUAAGGUCCGCGCAUUUGCUAGGAUGCUGGCGUAAUGGCUGUAAGCGGCCUGUCUUAAAACACGGACUAAGAAGUCUAAUAUCUAUGCGAGUGUUUGGGUGUUAAGCCUGAGCGCGUAAUAAAAGUGAACGGAGGUAGGACUCCUUUUAGGGUGCACUAUUAACUAAUCCUAAUGUCUUUGGAUGGAUUUGAGUAAGAGCAUAGCUGUUAGGACCUAAAAGAUAGUGAACUAUGCUUGAAUAGGGUGAAGCUAGAGGAAACUCUAGUGGAGGCUCGCAGCGGUUCUAACGUGCAAAUCGAUUGUUAAAUUUGGGCAUAGGGGCGAAAGACUAAUUGAACUAUCUAGUAGCUAGUUCCUGCUGAAGUUUCCCUUAGGAUAGCAGUAACGUAUUCAGUUUUAUAAGGUAAAGCGAAUGAUUAGAGGCCUAGGGGUUGAAACAACCUUUACCUAUUCUUAAACUUUAAAUAUGUAAGAAGUCCUUGUUACUUAAUUGAACGUGGACACUUGAAUGUACUGUUACUAGUGGGCUAUUUUUGGUAAGCAGAACUGGCGAUGCGGGAUAAACUAAACGUGGGGUUAAGGUGCUAGAAUGCACGCUUAUUAGACACUACAAAAGGUGUUAGUUUAUCUAGAUAGUAGGACGGUGGCUAUGGAAGUUGGAAUCCGCUAAGGAGUGUGUAACAACUUACCUGCUAAAUGAACUAGCCCUAAAAAUAGAUAGCGCUUAAGCGUGUUACCUAUACCCUACCGCUGGGGCAAGAUUUAAGCCCUAGCGAGUAGGCAGGCGUGGAGGCCUGUAACGAAGCCUAGGGAGGACCCUAGCAAGCGUUUCCC
This 1369-nucleotide ribosomal RNA is filed under the name Neocamarosporium betae. RNAcentral's name for it is "partial large subunit ribosomal RNA". It matches the Rfam family "Eukaryotic large subunit ribosomal RNA", at positions 48 to 1440 of the family's 3401-position model. The record is from RNAcentral. Lineage: Eukaryota; Fungi; Ascomycota; Dothideomycetes; Neocamarosporiaceae.